UACAGGGGGUGCAAACGUUGCUCGGAAUCAUUGGGCGUAAAGCGCACGUAGGCGGUUCGUUAUGUCGGAUGUGAAAGCCCUUGGCUUAACCGAGGAAGUGCAUCCGAAACUGGCGAGCUAGAGUACGAAAGAGGAUCGCGGAAUUCCCGGUGUAGAGGUGAAAUUCGUAGAUAUCGGGAGGAACACCGGUGGCGAGGGCGGCGAUCUGGGUCGAUACUGACGCUGAGGUGCGAAAGCGUGGGGAGCAAACAGG
Molecule: ribosomal RNA, 253 nt
Filed under: uncultured bacterium
Lineage: Bacteria
Description: partial 16S ribosomal RNA
Rfam family: Bacterial small subunit ribosomal RNA
Source: RNAcentral